GACAGAGGCCUCGAGCGUUAGACGGAAUCACUGGGCUUAAAGCGUGUGUAGGCGGAAGGGUAAGUACCUUGUGAAAUCCCACGGCUCAACCGUGGAACUGCUGGGUAUACUGCUUUUCUUGAGCAAUCUAGGGGCGAGUGGAACAGAUGGUGGAGCGGUGAAAUGCGUAGAUAUCAUCUGGAACGCCAAUGGUGAAGACAACUCGCUGGGGAUUUGCUGACGCUGAGACACGAAAGCCAGGGGAGCGAACGGGAUUAGAUACCCCGGUAGUCCUGGCCCUAAACGAUGUCCACUAGAUUGCAGCGGCUCUGACGCCGUUGCGGUCGAAGCAAAAGUGUUAAGUGGACCGCCUGGGAAGUACGGUCGCAAGGCUAAA
RNAcentral lists this ribosomal RNA (376 nucleotides) under uncultured bacterium. RNAcentral's name for it is "bacterial SSU rRNA". It matches the Rfam family "Bacterial small subunit ribosomal RNA", at positions 524 to 898 of the family's 1533-position model. The record is from RNAcentral.